GUUUUAGUUAGGGUUGGAGCUGAACUCUGCAGGGCUGCGGCUCUCCAGGACCAGAGUUCGCCACCCCUGUUAUAGACAGUUGUACUCCCACUUAGUUUUGACAUAUGUUUAUAUAUAUAUCUGCAUUCCUAAAUAUAAACUGCAAUGUGUCCAACAGGGGAAUGUAAAUUCCCGUAUUCCAAGAUGGCGCCGAGCAUGGCGGCCGUGUUGCGAGCUCCGAGUAAACUUUGCAGUUUUUUGUUUGUUUUACUUGUUUUUUUGUUGUUCUACGUGUUGGAUGUUGUUUGUAUAACUGUCUACGACAGACACACGCUUCUAAACAUUGGUUCCUACGUCGCGGAACGCAAACCGGACUUUGAGUUCUUGAACGCCGGCGCUUUGUUUACAGACACCGCAUCAGAGCCCUUUGUCUGGGCUGCGCGGGUGCGACCGAGGAAACGCCGCCGGAAAAGAGGGAAGAGAGCCGGCGUCCUUGUCAGACUCAGACGUCGUCCCCUCCGACCUCCUCUCCCAUCCAUUUUGCUGGCUAACGUUCAGUCACUGGACAAUAAACUUUGCGAACUGCGGGCACGUAUCUCAUACCAACGAGAAACAAGGGACUGCUGCAUUAUUUGCCUCACAGAAACCUGGAUGUCUGCAGUGGUUCCAGACUCAGCCAUCGAGCUUACGGGGUUCUCCGUGCACCGCUCGGACAGAACGAAAGAGCUCACAGGGAAAAGCAGAGGUGGGGGCGUUUGUUUCUUUAUCAACAACUCGUGGUGUGAUGAAAGGAACCUACACUCUAUUAAAUCCUUCUGCUCCCCUGAUCUGGAAUUUCAUAUGCUUCUGUGUCGACCAUUCUGGCUACCGAGGGAAUUCACAGCGGUCAUAAUCACCGCUGUUUACAUUCCCCCUCAAGCCAACACAGACCAGGCACUCAAGGAACUGUAUGGGAAUAUAAGUGAGCAGGAAACCGCGUACCCAGAUGCAGCGUUUAUUGUUAUGGGGGACUUUACAACAUCUGACUAGACACAAACAUACACACAUUCAACAUAGAUGCCAACGCAAGGAAGGCAUGGAUAGAGAGAGAGAGCAUGUGAGAGAGAAAGAGAGAGCGCAAUGUAGAGAGAGAGCGCAAAAGAGUAAUAGCAGUAUUUACUCAUCAACUAAUCACAACCUGUUAAAGGGAUACUCUACCCCAAAAUGAAAAUUGUGUUUAUCACUUACCCCCAUUUCGUUCCAAACCAGUAAAAGCUUUGCUA
Cyprinus carpio (common carp) is the source of this 1241-nucleotide long non-coding RNA. Lineage: Eukaryota; Metazoa; Chordata; Actinopteri; Cypriniformes; Cyprinidae. The record is from Ensembl.